UGCCCAUCAGAAGGGGAUAACACUUGGAAACAGGUGCUAAUACCGUAUAACAAUCGAAACCGCAUGGUUUUGAUUUGAAAGGCGCUUUCGGGUGUCGCUGAUGGAUGGACCUGCGGUGCAUUAGCUAGUUGGUGAGGUAACGGCUCACCAAGGCGACGAUGCAUAGCCGACCUGAGAGGGUGAUCGGCCACRUUGGGACUGAGACACGGCCCAAACUCCUACGGGAGGCAGCAGUAGGGAAUCUUCGGCAAUGGACGAAAGUCUGACCGAGCAACGCCGCGUGAGUGAAGAAGGUUUUCGGAUCGUAAAACUCUGUUGUUAGAGAAGAACAAGGAUGAGAGUAACUGUUCAUCCCUUGACGGUAUCUAACCAGAAAGCCACGGCUAACUACGUGCCAGCAGCCGCGGUAAUACGUAGGUGGCAAGCGUUGUCCGGAUUUAUUGGGCGUAAAGCGAGCGCAGGCGGUUUCUUAAGUCUGAUGUGAAAGCCCCCGGCUCAACCGGGGAGGGUCAUUGGAAACUGGGAGACUUGAGUGCAGAAGAGGAGAGUGGAAUUCCAUGUGUAGCGGUGAAAUGCGUAGAUAUAUGGAGGAACACCAGUGGCGAAGGCGGCUCUCUGGUCUGUAACUGACGCUGAGGCUCGAAAGCGUGGGGAGCAAACAGGAUUAGAUACCCUGGUAGUCCACGCCGUAAACGAUGAGUGCUAAGUGUUGGAGGGUUUCCGCCCUUCAGUGCUGCAGCUAACGCAUUAAGCACUCCGCCUGGGGAGUACGACCGCAAGGUUGAAACUCAAAGGAAUUGACGGGGGCCCGCACAAGCGGUGGAGCAUGUGGUUUAAUUCGAAGCAACGCGAAGAACCUUACCAGGUCUUGACAUCCUUUGACCACUCUAGAGAUAGAGCUUCCCCUUCGGGGGCAAAGUGACAGGUGGUGCAUGGUUGUCGUCAGCUCGUGUCGUGAGAUGUUGGGUUAAGUCCCGCAACGAGCGCAACCCUUAUUGUUAGUUGCCAUCAUUUAGUUGGGCACUCUAGCAAGACUGCCGGUGACAAACCGGAGGAAGGUGGGGAUGACGUCAAAUCAUCAUGCCCCUUAUGACCUGGGCUACACACGUGCUACAAUGGGAAGUACAACGAGUCGCAAAGUCGCGAGGCUAAGCUAAUCUCUUAAAGCUUCUCUCAGUUCGGAUUGUAGGCUGCAACUCGCCUACAUGAAGCCGGAAUCGCUAGUAAUCGCGGAUCAGCACGCCGCGGUGAAUACGUUCCCGGGCCUUGUACACACCGCCCG
Molecule: ribosomal RNA, 1282 nt
Filed under: Enterococcus hirae
Lineage: Bacteria; Bacillati; Bacillota; Bacilli; Lactobacillales; Enterococcaceae
Description: bacterial SSU rRNA
Rfam family: Bacterial small subunit ribosomal RNA
Source: RNAcentral